AUUGAACGCUGGCGGCAUGCCUUACACAUGCAAGUCGAACGGUAACAGGUCUUCGGAUGCUGACGAGUGGCGAACGGGUGAGUAAUACAUCGGAACGUGCCCGAUCGUGGGGGAUAACGGAGCGAAAGCUUUGCUAAUACCGCAUACGAUCUACGGAUGAAAGCAGGGGACCGCAAGGCCUUGCGCGGACGGAGCGGCCGAUGGCAGAUUAGGUAGUUGGUGGGAUAAAAGCUUACCAAGCCGACGAUCUGUAGCUGGUCUGAGAGGACGACCAGCCACACUGGGACUGAGACACGGCCCAGACUCCUACGGGAGGCAGCAGUGGGGAAUUUUGGACAAUGGGCGAAAGCCUGAUCCAGCCAUGCCGCGUGCAGGAUGAAGGCCUUCGGGUUGUAAACUGCUUUUGUACGGAACGAAAAGACUCUUUCUAAUAAAGGGGGUGCAUGACGGUACCGUAAGAGUAAGCACCGGCUAACUACGUG
Molecule: ribosomal RNA, 482 nt
Filed under: uncultured bacterium
Lineage: Bacteria
Description: partial 16S ribosomal RNA
Rfam family: Bacterial small subunit ribosomal RNA
Source: RNAcentral